This 1201-nucleotide long non-coding RNA is filed under the name Helianthus annuus (common sunflower). The record is from RNAcentral. Lineage: Eukaryota; Viridiplantae; Streptophyta; Magnoliopsida; Asterales; Asteraceae.
AAGCCUCUCUCCCUCUACUUUUUAAGACUCUUCAUAGAUCUGCGUAUAUCCAUCCGAUUCAAGGGUUUCAUAACAAUCGAUCUUCUUUACAACUACAUCAAGGUACGAUUGCGAUAUAAGAUAUUAUAAUGAUAAGGUGUUCUUAUGUUUUCUUUGUAGAACCAACAUAGAUUUUUUCAAUAUUUAUUGACGAUUGUUGAUCUUGAUUUUUUUUUCAUGUUUUGAUUUGUGAAUCGUUCGAUAUUAUCAUCCGAACUGUUUCUUCUCAUCAUUAAUCAUUGGAUUCCUAAUUCGUAUCACUACAACAACGUCAAUACACCAGGGUUUGUCGUCUUCCAGCACAGAUCUUCCAAGGUGAUCUAAUGCUUCAUUAACAAGUUGUAGGGUGAUUGCAUUUGUUAUGGCUCUUCUAGAUUCUUCAACAACAGAUAGGUUACUAUUGUUGUCUAAAUCCAAAGUGAGGUUGUAGAGACUUUCCGUGCAAAGAGGGCAAUAAAAAGUCCAGCUAUGCUGUUGGAUCUUCUGUUCAAGCGUAGAAAUAACAGGGUAUAUGCAAUAUGGGAUGUCACUGAUAGAAUUACAAUCGUUUCCACGAGGGAAAUGUAGGUUUAAAGAUCAACGAGGUGUCAUCGGUAAAUCCAGUAGUUGUUGCUCCAUUUUUGAAUUGGCCAAGGUCCAUCCUCCACAAUAAACACUGAAGCCAGACCCGAACUGAUGUGUAUGUUUAAGUGGCAGUGCAUAAUCCAGGAGCACGAGCUUGGACUUGGUCUUGGCGAGAUUCCUGGAGCAUAUUCGUUAUUUCUUCCGCACGUGCUUGACCAAUAUGGAUGUUAUGGAGUUCGUGGGGGACUUGCAUGAAAUGCAGAUAGUUAGUUAGCUUAGAUAUUUUCCAUUUUUAAGGGGAUAGCUGUCACACCCCCAAAAUCCCACCUGCGGAGUACUACCGCAUGGAGGCGUGACUGACCAGGAUCCAGCCACCAAUCAUACUGAACAAGCAUAUAAUGAUUAUAAAAGUUUAACUAAUACGAUUGGUGUUUCAAAACAAUAAAGUUUAAGUUGCAAGCGGAAGCAUAAGUUUAAAGUUAUAAUAUAAGUCCAAAAGUUUCAAGUUAACAGAACACGUAGCAAUCCGUGUCCCACAACGAUCCUCCUCCAUGCAAGCUCCAGCUGAGUACCUAUGGUCCUGCAAAGCAUGUAGUAA